AUCGCUAGAUGUACUUACUUGGCUUCCAGCGUUGUCGUCUGCCACUAAACAGAUGUUUGCCUCUUCAUCAGAUUCGCUCGAAUCAGAAAUUGUUUCGUUGUCAUCGUCCCAUGCGAUGUAGGCCUUCUUUUUCUUGAAGGAUUUCCUUUCCUUUAUUUCUUCAUUCUUCUUUUGAUUUGGGCAGUCCGCUUUUAAGUGCCCCCUUUCUCCGCAACCAUAACAUCUAUAUUUUGAGGAGGAUUCUUUAUUUUCUUUCUUUUCG
This 262-nucleotide long non-coding RNA is filed under the name Vigna radiata. RNAcentral's name for it is "long non-coding RNA (VRAD_LNC014911)". The record is from RNAcentral. Lineage: Eukaryota; Viridiplantae; Streptophyta; Magnoliopsida; Fabales; Fabaceae.